GAUGAACGCUGGCGGCGUGCUUAACACAUGCAAGUCGAACGAAGCACAGAAAGCAGAUUACUUCGGUUUGAAGCUUUCUGUGACUGAGUGGCGGACGGGUGAGUAACGCGUGGAUAACCUGCCUCACACAGGGGGAUAACAGUUAGAAAUGACUGCUAAUACCGCAUAAGCGCACAGUCUCGCAUGGGACAGUGUGAAAAACUGAGGUGGUGUGAGAUGGAUCCGCGUCUGAUUAGGCAGUUGGCGGGGUAACGGCCCACCAAACCGACGAUCAGUAGCCGGCCUGAGAGGGUGAACGGCCACAUUGGGACUGAGACACGGCCCAA
RNAcentral lists this ribosomal RNA (326 nucleotides) under uncultured bacterium. Its description in RNAcentral is "bacterial SSU rRNA". It matches the Rfam family "Bacterial small subunit ribosomal RNA", at positions 28 to 334 of the family's 1533-position model. The record is from RNAcentral.